RNAcentral lists this transfer RNA (72 nucleotides) under Marmota monax (woodchuck). Its description in RNAcentral is "tRNA.His". The record is from RNAcentral. Lineage: Eukaryota; Metazoa; Chordata; Mammalia; Rodentia; Sciuridae.
AGGGUUGUGGCUCAGUGGUAGAGUGCCUGCCGUGGUCAGGUGGCGCCCUGGGUUCGAUCCUCAGCAUCACGU